CCUCGGCGCCUCCCGCGGGCGGGCGGACUGACCGACGGACGGACUGACGGUGGACGGUGGGCGGCGGACCGCGCGCAGGGGACAGGAGCAGGGCGGCGCGAGCGCGGGGUGUGCGGCCCCGGCCCUCGGCGACCCCGGCCCCAUGGCCGGCCCGGCCCCGCCCUCCGCCGACGAGCUGCCCGGCCCGGCCCGGCGCCUCUACUCCAGGAUGGAGACCUCGUGCCUGGAGCUGGCCCUGGAGGGCGAGCGUCUCUGCAAGGCCGGGGACUUCAAGGCGGGCGCGGCCUUCUUUGAGGCAGCGGUGCAGGUGGGCACCGAGGACCUGAAGACUCUCAGCGCCAUCUACAGCCAGCUGGGCAAUGCCUACUUCUACCUGAAGGAGUACUCCCGGGCGCUGGAGUACCACAGGCACGACCUGCUGCUGGCCCGGACCAUCGGUGACCGCAUGGGGGAAGCCAAGGCCAGCGGGAACCUGGGCAACACACUCAAGGUGCUCGGCCGCUUUGACGAGGCCAUUGUGUGCUGCCAGCGGCACCUGGACGUCGCCCGGGAGCAGGGGGACAAGGUCGGGGAGGCGAGGGCAUUGUACAACAUCGGCAACGUGUACCACGCCAAGGGCAAGCAGCUCUCGUGGAACGCCGCACAGGACCCCGGGCACCUGCCGCCCCAUGUCCGGGAGCCACUGCGCAGAGCCUCCGAGUUCUAUGAGAGGAACCUGUCCCUCGUGAAGGAGCUGGGCGACCGGGCGGCCCAGGGCAGGGCGUAUGGCAACCUGGGCAACACACACUACCUGCUGGGGAGCUUCGUGGAGGCUACGACCUUCCACAAGGAGCGCCUGGCCAUUGCUAAGGAAUUUGGAGACAAGGCGGCAGAGAGGAGGGCAUACAGCAACCUGGGGAACGCCCACAUCUUCCUGGGGCGCUUUGACGUGGCCGCCGAGUACUACAAGAAGACGCUGCAGCUGUCCCGGCAGCUCAAGGACCAGGCGGUGGAGGCACAGGCCUGCUACAGCCUGGGCAACACCUACACUCUGCUGCAGGACUACGAGCGCUCGGCCGAGUACCACCUUCGGCACCUGCUCAUCGCCCAGGAGCUGGCCGACAGAGUGGGAGAGGGCCGGGCGUGCUGGAGCUUGGGGAAUGCCUACGUGUCCAUGGGGAGCCCGGCACAGGCCCUGACCUUCGCCAAGAAGCACCUGGAGAUCUCCCAGGAGAUCGGGGACCGAAACGGGGAGCUCACGGCCCGCAUGAACGUGGCACAGUUGGAGCUGGUGCUGGGCCGGCUGAGCAGCCCCGCGGCCGCGGAGAAGCCCGACCUGGCCGGCUACGAGGCCCAAGGUGCCAGGCCCAAGAGGACACAGAGGCUGAGUGCAGAGACCUGGGGCCUGCUGAGGCUCCCCCUGGAACGGGAGCAGAAUGGAGACAGCCACCAGCUGGGGGAGUGGCGGGGGCCGGGCAGGGACAUGCUCCCUCUCCCCAUGAGGAGCAGGAAGUACCAGGAGGGGCUGGAGACCGCUGAGAGGCCCCGCGAGGGCGGCCACUCCCCGCUGGACAGCGCGGACGUCCGGGUGCAGGUGCCUCGCACGAGCAUCCCUCGGGCCCCGUCCUCCGACGAGGACUGCUUCUUUGACCUGCUGAGCAAGUUCCAGAGCAGCCGCAUGGAUGACCAGCGCUGUCCCCUGGAGGAGGGUCAGCCCGGGGCCGCCGAGGCCACCGCCGCCCCCAGCCUGGAGGAGAGGGUCGCCCGGCCCUCGCUGACGGCCUCCCCGCAGACCGAAGAGUUCUUCGACCUGAUCGCCAGCUCGCAGAGCCGCCGGCUGGACGACCAGCGUGCCAGCGUAGGCAGCUUGCCCGGGCUCCGCAUCACCCACAACAACCUGGGACACCUGCGUGCCGACGGGGACCCGCAGGAGCCUGGGGACGAGUUCUUCAACAUGCUCAUCAAGUGCCAGUCCGCCAGGAUCGACGACCAGCGCUGCCCGCCUCCCGACGUGCUGCCCCGAGGCCCCACCAUGCCUGACGAGGACUUCUUCAGCCUCAUCCAGAGGGUGCAGGCCAAGCGGAUGGACGAACAGCGGGUCGACCUCGCCGGGAGCCCGGAGCAGGAGGUCGGCGGGAGACCCGAGCCCCGGCAGCAGUGCCAGCCUGGCGCCACCUAAGGCCUUGUGACUGCAGCCAGGCCGGCCCCACCCCCGCUCCUGGACUCGGGGCCGGGGUGGGGGGGUGGGGGGGCGGAGAGCUCACGGUCAUCUGCCCAGAAGCCCGUUCCUCUGGAGGCCACGGCUGAGCACAGGCUCCGAGCCCUCUGGCCCUUUCCACUGUGGCAGACGCUGGGCACACAGCCCCCACAUCGGCUCCCUCCCAGGGUGGCAGGCUCAGGUCAGGGCUGCCCUGGAGGGUGGCUGUGCUCCUGUCCUAGAGCAGCCCCCGGGGUGGUACACGGCCUCCCGCAGGCCUGCCAGGCCUUCCCACUGCCCCAGGCCCAGCCCUCCCCCUGCCCCAUGCCCAGCUCUCCCCCUGCCCCAGGCCCAGCCCUCCCCCUGCCCCAGGCCCAGCCUUCCCCCUGCCCCAGGCCCAGCUCUCUCCCUGCCCCAGGCCCGGCUCUCCCCCUGCCCCAGGCCUGCAGCUUGUUGGGUCCAAACCCUCCGUGGCGCCCCUCUGCCCUGCCCAGCUCCCUCCUGCCUGGCAAAUGUGAAGAUGCUGUUGCCUCCCUUAAGUCCCCAAAGGCCCCUCUGACGGCUUUUCUGUGGGGCUUACCAAUGACACGGACAUUUCUGUCCUCCCAGAGGUGGUCCUGGGAUGAUGGAACCUGUUUGCCCCAGUCCCAGCCUCUCUCCCACAGGGAGGGGUCCCUCCCAGCCCUUCGGCCCUCCCACCUCCCUUCUCCACCUAGAGAAGGUGCGAGGUGGUCUCAGCCUGGAACCUGACACAGCAGCGGAGGCAGGCCAGGUGCCCCCACACAGAGCCACCAGGUCCUGGCAUUUCAGCCCCCCACCCCGAGCCGGCACCCAGUCUUGAACAGGCAGGGGCAGUGGAUGGGUGGGGACAGGCUACACCCCUCAACUCCAAGCUCCGAGGCCCGGGGACAGAGCAGGACAGGACAGAGGCCCAGGACAGGGACUGCGGCAGGCCCGGGGGCCGGCGGCGAAAGCUGGGGGGGUUCAGCUCGGCCCAACCCUGGGCACCCAGCCCUCGCUGCGCCCCAAGCUGGGAAGGUGACAUCACUGCCUUCUAUGGGGAGGGUCCAGCCCCCACACAGCCAAGCCCACCCAUGGGAUUGUGCAGGAAAGGCCCCUGCCUUGGCCCGCCACCAGCCCUUCUGGAGAGCCACCCCCACCCCCCGCCCAGCCCCGCGGCCCCCAGGGUGUGAGGUGGCCACGUCCUCCUCAGGCAGUGCCCCAGCUGGGCUCCCUCCAUCUUUCUCAGAGGCCCUCCUGGCGGGGGAGGCGGCCGGACCCCCACCCCGCAGUACGGCCUGGGGGCCCUGGGCUCUGAUGCUCUGAAAGGUGUGGGUGGGAGCCCGGGGUGUGGGGGGGCCAGAUGCCAGAACACGGGCCCCCCUCGGGCCCCCACAUACUUGAAUGUACAAGCAUAUUUAUUGCUCACACGUGUUUGCCCUGUUGUCAGUGGGUCCUUUCCAACCCAAGAGGUACAUGGUUUUUUGUUUUUCCCAAAAAAAUAAAGUCUGCCAAGUGAA
Molecule: RNA transcript, 3696 nt
Organism: Panthera uncia (snow leopard)
Lineage: Eukaryota; Metazoa; Chordata; Mammalia; Carnivora; Felidae
Gene: GPSM1
Gene name: G protein signaling modulator 1
Exons: 15
Source: RefSeq, a predicted model, not a curated record